Glycine max (soybean) is the source of this 70-nucleotide non-coding RNA. The record is from Rfam. NCBI's taxonomy places the organism in Eukaryota, Viridiplantae, Streptophyta, Magnoliopsida, Fabales, Fabaceae.
UCCUUGGUAGCUCAGUGGUAGAGUAAUUGAUUGUUAACUCACUAGUUGUAGGUUUGAAUCCUAUUGGGAA